GGCGUUCGUAGUGUCAUUGGUAUGCACGCCGGGUUGUGGUCCCGGAAGUGAGGGUUCGAUUCCCUCCGAUCGCCC
This 75-nucleotide transfer RNA is filed under the name Actinomadura barringtoniae. RNAcentral's name for it is "tRNA-His". It matches the Rfam family "tRNA". From Rfam's summary of the family: Transfer RNA (tRNA) molecules are approximately 80 nucleotides in length. Their secondary structure includes four short double-helical elements and three loops (D, anti-codon, and T loops). Further hydrogen bonds mediate the characteristic L-shaped molecular structure. tRNAs have two regions of fundamental functional importance: the anti-codon, which is responsible for specific mRNA codon recognition, and the 3' end, to which the tRNAs corresponding amino acid is attached (by aminoacyl-tRNA synthetases). tRNAs cope with the degeneracy of the genetic code in two manners: having more than one tRNA (with a specific anti-codon) for a particular amino acid; and 'wobble' base-pairing, i.e. permitting non-standard base-pairing at the 3rd anti-codon position. Lineage: Bacteria; Bacillati; Actinomycetota; Actinomycetes; Streptosporangiales; Thermomonosporaceae. The record is from RNAcentral.